Molecule: unclassified non-coding RNA, 228 nt
Filed under: plant metagenome
Description: partial contains small subunit ribosomal RNA, internal transcribed spacer 1, and 5.8S ribosomal RNA
Source: RNAcentral
UUUCCGUAGGUGAAUCUGCGGAAGGAUCAUUACAGUGUUCCCUGCCCUUCGGGGUAGGAUCGCCACCCUUGAUUAUUUAUGAGUGUUGCUUUGGCGGGCCUCGCGGCCUGGCCGCGCCCCGGCUUCGGCGGGGGAGCGCCCGCCAGAGGAUUCUACAAACCUGAUUGUUAGUGUCGUCUGAGUACUAUAUAAUAGUUAAAACUUUCAACAACGGAUCUCUUGGUUCUG